GUGUCUCCAGCCAAGGGUCAUGUUUAUUAUCAAAUGAGUAUUAGCACUGUGCCUCCAGGCAAGUAGAAAUGGAAACCCAGGCAGUGAUGAGAGAAUUGACCAGAGUUUGGUCUUCAUCAAAGAGGGCUCUUGGGAUCUCACUCAGGUCUGCUGGGGCGGAGGACAGGCUCAGCCCUGGAAAGGGGCGGAGCAUCACAGUUUAAGCAGAAUGGUUGUGGUGCUGACCAGCCACAUUAGAGCCUUGGGUGACUACCUUUUGUGGGCUGGGAAUGGCAGGUGGGCAGGGCAGCCUCGGAUUCCACCCAGGGGUGGGUAGAGGACUUCUCAUGUGCUAGCAGUUCAGGCCAAAAUGCCUCCAAACCCUAGCAUUUUAAUCCUAGAAAACAGGCCCCAGCUCCCUCAUAAUGCAAGUCACAACCACCAGCUGCUAUCUGAAGCAUCCAUCCAUAGCCCACCCCACCCCACCUCCACUGCAACCCUGCUUCCCCAUGUGCUCUUCCCACCUGAUGGGUUUGAGCUACGCAGAGGAAUCAUCAGAAUAAUGAUCAUUUUCCCCUACCCCCUCCCUUGCUUGUUCAAAGAAAAGAGCCCUUAAUUGCUUCUUGAACUGCACACAAGUGGGCCGUUGACUGUGACUGUAAUUCAGCAUGGAGAAGCAAGGAAAACGCUGCAACAGAUUUUGUUGAGGCAAUGUCUUCAACGGAAAAAAAAAUGCUGCAGUGGGAUCAGCAGGCAUGGGCCACCGCUAAGUAGAAUGAGAAUAGCCUGGUAUAUUGAAGUAACCCUUAAUUGUAGAUGAUCUCAGUCUGAGGCAGGGGGAUGUGUUUUUUAAGUGGAGAGGGGGCAAGGCUGAGAAAGAGAGGGAGGGAGGGAGGAUGAACAGCAAUCAUUUUAGAAGGAUAGCCCAUUAUGGAUGACCCAGCAGAUUCAGAUUCCUAAUGAAGAUGACACUGUUGAAGGAAACGGAAGAAUUCUGCGUUUGGUUGUUUGCUAUUUACCAGCUUUCUACACCCACCUCCCAAGUACACUGUUAACAUCUCGAGGCGUCUGCAUCAGUUCCUUCCAUCUCAAAUGCAUCUUCCCACGAAGUUAGGAACUUGGAGAGGCAGCAGCCAUCUGCCCAAACAGCCCAGUAAAACAGCCAUUCCACUCCAAGUCACAGCCACCCCUGUACAGGCAGUGCUGGCUCCAGAGACCAGGAAAGAGAUGCCAGCAACCAAGAAACCUACUGCCAACUGCAUGCCUUCUCUAAACAUUUCCCUCUGUGUUCAUCUAAGAAGGAUGUAGACCUUGCAAAGAAAUCUCUCUCUCUCUCUCUUUUUUUUUUUUUUUUUUUUUUUUUUUUUUUUUUU
This 1352-nucleotide long non-coding RNA is filed under the name Sus scrofa (pig). RNAcentral describes it as "lncRNA (ENSSSCG00005022105.1)". The record is from RNAcentral. Lineage: Eukaryota; Metazoa; Chordata; Mammalia; Artiodactyla; Suidae.